UCCAACUGCAGCUCAUUCUGUUAGAGUUCC
This 30-nucleotide non-coding RNA is filed under the name Homo sapiens (human). The record is from RNAcentral. Lineage: Eukaryota; Metazoa; Chordata; Mammalia; Primates; Hominidae.